CCUACGGGAGGCAGCAGUCGAGAAUCAUUCACAAUGGGGGAAACCCUGAUGGUGCGACGCCGCGUGGGGGAAUGAAGGUCUUCGGAUUGUAAACUCCUGUCAUGUGGGGGCAAAUUAUAAAGAUAGUACCAUAAGAGGAUGAGACGGCUAACUCUGUGCCAGCAGCCGCGGUAAUACAGAGGGCGCACGCGUUGUUCGGAAGCACUGGGCGUAAGGGGUGCGUAGGCGGUUUUGUAAGUCGUGUGUGAAAGGUGCGGGCUGAACCCAGGAACGGCACAUGAUACUGCGAAACUAGAGUAAUUGAGGGAGGACCGGAAUUCUAGGUGUAGCAGUGAAAUGCGUAGAGAUCGAGAGGAACACUCGUGGCGAAGGCGGGUUCCUGGACAUGAACUGACGCUGAGGCACGAAGGCCAGGGGAGCGAAAGGGAUUAGAUACCCGUGUAGUC
Molecule: ribosomal RNA, 446 nt
Filed under: uncultured bacterium
Lineage: Bacteria
Description: partial 16S ribosomal RNA
Rfam family: Bacterial small subunit ribosomal RNA
Source: RNAcentral